RNAcentral lists this ribosomal RNA (268 nucleotides) under uncultured bacterium. Its description in RNAcentral is "partial 16S ribosomal RNA". It matches the Rfam family "Bacterial small subunit ribosomal RNA", at positions 85 to 354 of the family's 1533-position model. The record is from RNAcentral.
CCGAUGGCGACCGGCGCACGGGUGAGUAACACGUAUCCAACCUGCCGAUAACUCGGGGAUAGCCUUUCGAAAGAAAGAUUAAUAUCCGAUAGCAUAUCAAGAUCGCAUGAUCUUGAUAUUAAAGAAUUUCGGUUAUCGAUGGGGAUGCGUUCCAUUAGUUAGUUGGCGGGGUAACGGCCCACCAAGACGACGAUGGAUAGGGGUUCUGAGAGGAAGGUCCCCCACAUUGGAACUGGGACACGGUCCAAACUCCUACGGGAGGCAGCAG